RNAcentral lists this long non-coding RNA (1181 nucleotides) under Sus scrofa (pig). Its description in RNAcentral is "lncRNA (ENSSSCG00065062455.1)". Lineage: Eukaryota; Metazoa; Chordata; Mammalia; Artiodactyla; Suidae. The record is from RNAcentral.
GGGUCGGAGGGGGCCAUGGCCCAGAGGAACAGGAUCCUGGCCGGGGACCGUGACCGCCUCGCGCUAGGAUGUUGAGGGCGCGCCUGGGGGCCGAGGAGCCAGAGGACACGGGCCGCCCAGAGGAUGGCAGGACUGGGCUGGACCCUGAGCCGGCGGCCGGGGAGGCCGGCAGGGCCGAGGAGAUGCUGUGGCUGCAGCAGCAGGUCUCAGGGCUCCGAGAGGCGUUCAGGAGGCAGGAGGACCACUGGGCGGCCACGCACCGCGCACUCCGGGCCCAGAUGGAUGCGCUGACGAGGCAGAACCAGGAGCUGCGGGCUGGGCUGAGGGCCUCUGAGCUGCGGCGUCUGGAGACCAAGAAGGCCCUGGCGGGGUGCCUUCGGAGACAGUCGGACACUCAGCCCAUGUGUGUAGAGAUGGAAAGAAUCCACUCUGCGGAAACGGUAUCAUGUGACGGUGGAGACAAAACCCUUUCCAGGAAGCAAGGCAGAAGCGCAAAGCCUCCCGGGAGGGAAACGCCCCGUGAAGACAAUCCAACCUCAUGUGAGGACGAAAAGAAAUGGAGCUGCGGGGAGUCCCCGGUGCCAGCAGCUUGUGUCAUCGCCCUUGAGGACCCGCCAGCUGCUGACCACGCGGACACCCACCCAUCGCCCCCUGAGGGCCCUGCAGGCAGCCCCCCUACCCAGGCUCCGAGGGCUGAGUCCACGUGUUCCUCCCCGGACAUCGAGGAGCCACAGAAUCUUCCUACAGAACCAGAGUCUCCCCCCAAAACAGCCCAGCACCAGGGCGCCCAGAGACAACAGGAGGAAGGGGAGGAAGUCCAGCACCCCGACGACAAGGCGGUGCAGAGAGGAGCGUCUAGACCAGCCUAUCCUCUUUUCCCGACCGGAGACGCCGUCGCCACGGCAGACGAGCUGCCCCCCGCGGCCGGGCCCGACCCGCAGAGCUCGGGGUAGAGUGAAAUCCUUCCUUCCCGGUUCUCCCUUGGAAACAAACGCACAUUAAACAGGUUGUCGUGUCUGUAUCCUGCUGUGUUUAUUCCCGGUCCCCGCUUCUCGGUCCAGGCUCCCAGGCCCGGGGGUCAUCUCCCCUCCCCGACAAGCACCUCAGCACCUGCUCGCUCCUCCUCGUCCUUCUCCACCUGAUCAGAAACCAAAGGAGUCACAACAAUUGCAAACAUCACC